UAAGCAAAGAUUCUCUAACUAAAGGACGAUUGAAAACGAAGUCAAAAAGAUCUAUCUGAUGCUCUGUGGGUCAAAUAAACUAAUAUUUACUGGAGGAGGGAAAUUUCACUAUUUGCUUUUUAGAUGUUGCAGCAAUGAACGUGCUGUGUCCUGUGAUGAAGAAACAUGCUUUGGCCUGAAGUAUUUGCUAUUUGUUGAAGUGAAACUGUUUUUGCAGGUUUUCUG
Molecule: unclassified non-coding RNA, 225 nt
Filed under: Hevea brasiliensis (rubber tree)
Lineage: Eukaryota; Viridiplantae; Streptophyta; Magnoliopsida; Malpighiales; Euphorbiaceae
Source: RNAcentral